This is a long non-coding RNA of Periophthalmus magnuspinnatus, 165 nucleotides long. RefSeq lists it as uncharacterized. The transcript has 3 exons. The record is from RefSeq and is a predicted model, not a curated record. Lineage: Eukaryota; Metazoa; Chordata; Actinopteri; Gobiiformes; Gobiidae.
GAUCAACGAGACCUGACCAUCUUUGGAGUUUUCUCUCAAAUUUAUUGAGAGACUCCAUUGACCAAAGAAGAUGUUGUACCCUGAAGGCCCUUUCUGUUUAUCUGAAUGAAGAUCCAAGCAACAUGAUAAAAGAAUAUGUAAAUAUUGAUUUCCUUAAUGCCCAGC